AGCAGCCGCGGUAAUUCCAGCUCCAAUAGCGUAUAUUAAAGUUGUUGCAGUUAAAAAGCUCGUAGUUGAAUUUCGGGGUUAGUAGGUUGGUCAUGCCUCUGGUAUGUACUGGUCUCACUGAUUCCUCCUUCCUGAUGAGCCGUAAUGCCAUUAAUUUGGUGUUGCGAGGAAUUUGGACUGUUACUUUGAAAAAUUAGAGUGUUUAAAGCAAGCUAACGCUUGAAUACAUUAGCAUGGAAUAAUGAAAUAGGACGUUCGAUCCUAUUUUGUUGGUUCCUAGGAUUGACGUAAUGAUUAAUAGGGAUAGUUGGGGGCAUUAGUAUUCAAUUGUCAGAGGUGAAAUUCUUGGAUUUAUUGAAGACUAACUACUGCGAAAGCAUUUGCCAAGGAUGUUUUCAUUAAUCAAGAACGAAAGUUAGGGGAUCGAAGACGAUCAGAUACCGUCGUAGUCUUAACCAUAAACUAUGCCGACUAGGGAUCGGAUGAUGUUAAUUUUUAAUGACUCAUUCGGCGCCUUAAC
RNAcentral lists this unclassified non-coding RNA (520 nucleotides) under uncultured Glomus. RNAcentral's name for it is "SSU rRNA". It matches the Rfam family "Eukaryotic small subunit ribosomal RNA", at positions 569 to 1092 of the family's 1831-position model. Lineage: Eukaryota; Fungi; Glomeromycota; Glomeromycetes; Glomerales; Glomeraceae. The record is from RNAcentral.